This is a long non-coding RNA of Protopterus annectens (West African lungfish), 1208 nucleotides long. RefSeq lists it as uncharacterized. Lineage: Eukaryota; Metazoa; Chordata; Ceratodontiformes; Protopteridae. The record is from RefSeq and is a predicted model, not a curated record. The transcript is spliced from 2 exons.
AAAUCUUGACAGAGGAAGUGAGAUAUUUAUGGGAGACCUAUAUCCCUAUUGGGAAGGAUUCUGUUCUAACAGACAUAUCCCAGCUGCUUAUUGGAAGAGUCAUAUUUUCGGAAACGUAACACUGCACAGCAUAGCAACAGCUACGAGGGAUGCUGUCACAUCAACAUGGUUCCUGACAGCUUUCCCAUCAGAAAGAGAAAUACUGCGCAGGAUCAAUGCACACUUCUUUUCAAGAAAGUCCUUCGAUAUCUUAAAGAAGCAGAAGCAACAUUUUAUUGAAAGAACAGUUGUCUUAUUUCACAACCACAAAGGAUUUGCAUUCGGAGGAAUGUUUAAUGGGUCAGCUGAACUUCUAGCAGAAAUUAGAUCCCUUUCAUUAAGUAAUUGGAUUUCUGACCUGGAUUCCCUUUCCUGAAAUUCAAUUCUGUACCUUCACUAGAGUUAGUCGCCAGCUGCUUCUUUGCUCGAAGUUUAUUUUUUGCCAAGACGUAUACUACAUUAUUAAAAAGGGUUGGCCUUUUACUAUACUGUGCUGUACUAUAUUUCGAAAUGGGAAAGUGAAUUGUUGUUGCAUAUAACCAACUGUAACGGGGCAUUUAUUUUCUGUCUCGCUCUCGCUGUCUUUCUCUCUCUCUCUCUCUUUGGCGUUCUUUGUAACCUCCUGAUGUAAACACAGGCUACCGAGAAGAGACGGAGAACCCUUGUAUUUUAAUGUACUAUUAAGUCAGUCAGCUGACUCUGAGUAUUACUCUGAACACACACACACAGAUAGCAGCAUACAUGCAAACAUAAGUGUGCCCCAAACACAGUUCUCUUCAUAACUUGCUUAAAAUAGUAAUACUCCUUGAAAAAAAAAAACUUGGUUGUAGUUGUAGGGGACAACCGCUGACAAUUAUUCGUACAUGUAUUAAACACUUGGUGGCAACAUCUGGAGAAAUGUGGAGGAGGAAACAAUACGAGACCGUGAGUAGUAAAGAUGUUUUGUAGCUGCACUCCUGCUUCCGAAUCUUCUUUUCUUAUUAAAUAUACUUAAAAUACCAGUUUUUAUGUUCCUACUAUAUUCAAAUUCAGACGAAUGCAGCUUUUAGGUUUCAAUUUUCAUUGCUUAAUAAGUAAGGACUUUAAAAUGUUAUUAUGAAACUAGCAUUUAUGUGUAUUUGUUAAAACUGUUUAUUUACUUUGUGUCCCUCAAUAAAUGGCAAACUGUC